Molecule: unclassified non-coding RNA, 348 nt
Filed under: soil metagenome
Description: partial contains 5.8S ribosomal RNA, internal transcribed spacer 2, and large subunit ribosomal RNA
Rfam family: 5.8S ribosomal RNA (bases 1-120)
Source: RNAcentral
GAUGAAGAACGUAGCAAAAUGCGAUAAGUAAUGUGAAUUGCAGAAUUCAGAGAAUCAUCGAAUCUUUGAACGCACAUUGCGCCCGCUGGUAUUCCGGCGGGCAUGCCUGUUCGAGCGUCAUUUCAACCCUCAAGCCCCCGGGUUUGGUGUUGGGGAUCGGCUCUGCCCUUCUGGGCGGUGCCGCCCCCGAAAUACAUUGGCGGUCUCGCUGCAGCCUCCAUUGCGUAGUAGCUAACACCUCGCAACUGGAACGCGGCGCGGCCAUGCCGUAAAACCCCAACUUCUGAAUGUUGACCUCGGAUCAGGUAGGAAUACCCGCUGAACUUAAGCAUAUCAAUAAGCGGAGGA